UUUCUGCCCAUGGAGCAUCUUUGGGA
This 26-nucleotide non-coding RNA is filed under the name Mus musculus (house mouse). Lineage: Eukaryota; Metazoa; Chordata; Mammalia; Rodentia; Muridae. The record is from RNAcentral.